AGAGUUUGAUCAUGGCUCAGAGUGAACGCUGGCGGCAGGCCUAAUACAUGCAAGUCGAACGGCAGCACAGCAGAGCUUGCUCUGUGGGUGGCGAGUGGCGGACGGGUGAGGAAUACGUGGGAAUCUGCCCAGUCGUGGGGGAUAACGUAGGGAAACUUACGCUAAUACCGCAUGCGCCCUUCGGGGGAAAGCCGGGGACCUUCGGGCCUGGCGCGAUUGGAUGAGCCCACGUCGGAUUAGCUAGUUGGCGGGUAAAGCCCACCAAGGCGACGAUCCGUAGCUGGGUCUGAGAGGAUGAUCAGCCACACUGGAACUGAGACACGGUCCAGACUCCUACGGGAGGCAGCAGUAGGGAAUAUUGGACAAUGGGCGCAAGCCUGAUCCAGCCAUGCCGCGUGAGUGAAGAAGGCCCUCGGGUUGUAAAGCUCUUUUGUCCGGAAAGGAAAGCGCCGGGUUAAUACCCUGGUGUCCUGACGGUACCGGAAGAAUAAGCACCGGCUAACUUCGUG
This 509-nucleotide ribosomal RNA is filed under the name uncultured bacterium. Its description in RNAcentral is "bacterial SSU rRNA". It matches the Rfam family "Bacterial small subunit ribosomal RNA", at positions 8 to 507 of the family's 1533-position model. The record is from RNAcentral.